CAGACCUCCUUGGGAAUAUAUUGAUCUGUGCUUCAGCUUCAAGAAUGGAGAGAUUCUGACUGGAUUUACUCAUUGCUGACUUGUGCAAGUCCUCCUGAAUGUACAUGGCACUGCUGUCUGAGACUGCAGGAGCCACUAUUUAGAGAUGUACAGAAGCUUCCACAAAGCACACAACCCUGUACCCUUUGUAAUAAAGAAAAAGAAACAGGAAAGCAAGGCGAUGCAGGACGGCCUUGUGACAGACACAUUUGGGGAGGGAGGAAGAGAAGUCUCGAGCCUUCUGGAGACAUAAGCAUAUGAAGACUGUGCAAGGAAAAAAUCACUGGAC
Long non-coding RNA from Centrocercus urophasianus (Greater sage-grouse), 328 nucleotides. RefSeq lists it as uncharacterized. The record is from RefSeq and is a predicted model, not a curated record. NCBI's taxonomy places the organism in Eukaryota, Metazoa, Chordata, Aves, Galliformes, Phasianidae. The transcript has 3 exons.